CCUACGGGAGGCAGCAGUAGGGAAUUUUCGUCAAUGGGCGCAAGCCUGAACGAGCAAUGCCGCGUGAACGAGGAAGGUCUUCGGAUCGUAAAGUUCUGUUGAAGGGGAAAAAGAGCGGAGAGAGGAAAUGGUCUCCGAUUGAUAUUACCCUUCGAGGAAGUCACGGCUAACUACGUGCCAGCAGCCGCGGUAAUACGUAGGUGGCGAGCGUUAUCCGGAGUGAUUGGGCGUAAAGGGUGCGUAGGCGGCCUUCUAAGUCUGGCGUGAAAGGUACCGGCUCAACCGGUAAAGGCUCUGGAAACUGGCGGGCUAGAGAGCAGGAGAGGGCGGUGGAACUCCAUGUGUAGCGGUAAAAUGCGUAGAUAUAUGGAAGAACACCAGUGGCGAAGGCGGCCGCCUGGCCUGUUGACUGACGCUGAGGCACGAAAGCGUGGGGAGCAAAUAGGAUUAGAUACCCCAGUAGUC
RNAcentral lists this ribosomal RNA (465 nucleotides) under uncultured bacterium. Its description in RNAcentral is "partial 16S ribosomal RNA". It matches the Rfam family "Bacterial small subunit ribosomal RNA", at positions 338 to 795 of the family's 1533-position model. The record is from RNAcentral.